This is a non-coding RNA of Sesamum indicum (sesame), 1237 nucleotides long. The record is from RefSeq and is a predicted model, not a curated record. NCBI's taxonomy places the organism in Eukaryota, Viridiplantae, Streptophyta, Magnoliopsida, Lamiales, Pedaliaceae.
AAACAACUGGUAAAAAUCCUCAUGUUAUAUUCUUGCUGUAAAGAGGUUAAACACACUGUAAGAGAAGUUGUAGUAAUUACUUGCAGCAUUUUACUGAUGUUACUAGCACCAAAGAUACGGUGAACGGCUGCAAACUUCUCAGGCUCCGCGGGAGGAAAGUAGGGGCUAAAGAGGCAGUCCUUGGUGCAACGACGUCGGAGGAAUCUGCAUGCAGCACAAGGCAUGAUGGUUCUGCUACAUGACUCCAUUGCAAGAAGAGGAUAAAUGGUAAGGAUCCAGAGAAUUAGCUGGAAGAACAAUCCCUUUAAUAAAACUUGAUUUCAUUGGCUGAUUUUUAGUUUUAUGUGGAAUAUAUAUAAUAAGGGCUGUCAUAUUCAAGGGCAGAUUCAGUGAAAUGGAAAUUGCUAGAGAACUUGGAAGAUCUUGUUGAUAGCCUUCAGUUGCCACAACAGCUAGCACAAGAAUUAACUCAUGCCAAGCAUGUAAUAAUAUUAUGAGGGGGUUUGAAUUCUGAACAUUAUAUUACCCUUUAUAUGCUAACACUUGUUUCUUUUCUAAAUUAUGAUAAUAAUAAUAAUAAAAUGGAUCAAAGAUUCUUGGUUUUUUUGAGUUAACGUUGCUAGCAUUUUAAUCUUCUAUUUCUAUCUUUUUUUUAAAAAAAUUUAAAUCUUGCAUGCUAGUAAUAAUUAUGGAUAAACUACAACAUAAUAAUAUGUGUAAAUAAAUGAUGUGGGAAUGACAAUCGCAUGACUUAAUCAUAUAUUUUUGUCUUCUACUUAACUGAUAGCAGUUGAGAUGCUAUUUUCUAAGAAUACAUAAAUAUUUACAUGCAAAAUGACACAAAAUCAGAAAUAUCUACUUGAGGGCCCUAAUCAAAUCUCCAACCGACAACCUUUUCACAUUUUUUUUAGAAAAAAAGAUAAUUGAUUACAAUUAUAUUAAAAUUUUCAUAACACACAAUUUAACAUAAAUAAAUAACAACUAUUAAAAUAGAACAAUAUUCAUAAAUUGGUGGAGUUUAAACCCAUAAUUAGCUAGUCACAAACUUCAAUUCUUUCAAAAAUAGCUAACACUUAUUUGGCUCUAGGUGAUAACAACGAUCACUUUCAUUCAAAUAUCGAUGGAUAUUUUGUAAAUAUCCUUGUAAAACAUACUUGGGUGUAAGUAUUUUUAUCAAACAUAUUUUGAUAAUUAAAUUUGAAGUCAUCCAAACUUUUCGUGAAUAAUUGCUGCAUAA